GCCAAUUUCGUCGAUUAAGGCGCGGGCAAAAAAUAGCUCGCAACGACACCGAGGCUACCCCGACAGGAAGCGAAUGCUUGGAAUGCCAAUGACUUUUAUGAUUCAGUUCAUUUCUCAGUGAUCUGCUUGUUUCCUCUCAGCAAUGUCGCCGAGAAAGGAAAGGACAUUCUCCGAUGCACUUGCACCUACCGGUAGUAGUCAAUGGUGAAAGUAAGUAGGUCGUGCGAAGGAUUUUGCCUGCCGGUAGCGAAAAAUGCGCGGCGUCCGCGUCAGAUGGGAGCGCAAUAAAUACGCAUCGGAAAGCUCGACCCGCCGGUGGAAAAUGGAUGAAAACAGUGGCUGUCCGCUCAAAACAAAGCAAAGAUUCCACACCACACCGAAACCGUGCGUCAUUCAUGCCCAGCCGAUCGUCGCGAAAAACAGAAUCGGAAGGCCUGUCAUGUGGAAUUGCUAUUUUUAAAGGAUAAUAUGCCCAUCACCGUCAGCGGAAAACGAAUGAUGUAACAUAAUUUUAAGGGACAGUGUAUACAUCGCGCUAGAAUAAUACACACG
Anopheles gambiae (African malaria mosquito) is the source of this 552-nucleotide long non-coding RNA. RefSeq lists it as uncharacterized. The transcript is spliced from 4 exons. NCBI's taxonomy places the organism in Eukaryota, Metazoa, Arthropoda, Insecta, Diptera, Culicidae. The record is from RefSeq and is a predicted model, not a curated record.